ACUCAAAUGAAUUGACGGGGAUCCGCACAAGCGGUGGAGCGUGUGGUUUAAUGCGACGCUAAGCGGAGAACCUUACCUAGGCUUGACAUCCCGGGAAUCUCUUGGAAACGAGAGAGUGCCGCAAGGAACCCGGUGACAGGUGAUGCAUGGCCGUCGUCAGCUCGUGUCGUGAGAUGUUGGGUUAAGUCCCGCAACGAGCGCAACCCCUGUCGUGUGUUGGAUUUUUCACGCGAAACUGCCUCGGUCAACGAGGAGGAAGGUGGGGAUGAAGUCAGGUCCGCAUGUCCCUUACUGCCUAGGGCGACACACGCGCUACAAUGGUCGGUACAAUGGGUUGCGAAAUCGCAAGAUGAAGCUAAUCCCAUCAAAGCCGGCCCCAGUUCGGAUUGGAGGCUGCAACUCGCCUCCAUGAAGCCGGAAUCGCUAGUAAACGCGAAUCAGCCACGUUGCGUUGAAUACGUUCUCGGAUCUUGUACACACCGCCCGU
RNAcentral lists this ribosomal RNA (487 nucleotides) under uncultured bacterium. RNAcentral describes it as "partial 16S ribosomal RNA". It matches the Rfam family "Bacterial small subunit ribosomal RNA", at positions 899 to 1397 of the family's 1533-position model. The record is from RNAcentral.